GAAAGAUGAAAAGAACUUUGAAAAGAGAGUUAAAGAGUACCUGAAACUGCUGAAAGGGAACCGAAUCGUUUCCAGUGUCUAUAAUCCGUGGUAUAUUUCAUUGGCGAGUGUGUGCGUGCGUGUGCUGUGGCAGCGGCUUUUUUGGCUGCGCUCGGCGUGUGUGCUGUGUGUGCUUGCUGGUGCCCUGUGCUGCGGUGGGACGUCAAGGUCAGUUCGUAUGCUGCGGGAAAUGGCCGCCGAGGAGGUAGGGCUUACGCUUGCGUUUGUCUGUUAUAUCUUGGUGGACGAGUAGUCGCAGUUGGGACUGAGGUGCCUACAACGUGUUUUUGAGUGGGCCUGUGUCUCUGUGUGCGCCGUGUGCGGAUAGCUUGCUAUGCGUGUGUGGUUGUGUGUGGAUUGAUGUGGGUUUUAACUUGUUGCCGUUCGGGACGUUGACGAAAUGGAGCGAUUUGACCCGUCUUGAAACACGG
This 470-nucleotide non-coding RNA is filed under the name Phytophthora infestans T30-4. RNAcentral describes it as "Eukaryotic large subunit ribosomal RNA". It matches the Rfam family "Eukaryotic large subunit ribosomal RNA", at positions 359 to 664 of the family's 3401-position model. The record is from Rfam by way of RNAcentral. Lineage: Eukaryota; Oomycota; Peronosporomycetes; Peronosporales; Peronosporaceae.